AAGUCGUAACAAGGUUUCCGUAGGUGAACCUGCGGAAGGAUCAUUAUUGAAAUAAACCUGAUGAGUUGCUGCUGGUUCUCUAGGGAGCAUGUGCACACUUGUCAUCUUUAUAUCUCCACCUGUGAACCUUUUGUAGACCCUGGAUAUCUCUCUGAAUGCCUGACAGAUUCAGGUUUGAGGAUUGAUUUUUUUCUUUCCUCGCGUUUCCAGGUCUAUGUUUUUCAUAUACCCCCAUGUAUGUUUAUAGAAUGUGAUAAACAGGCCUUUUGUGCCUAUAAAACUUAUACAACUUUCAGCAACGGAUCUCUUGGCUCUC
This 316-nucleotide unclassified non-coding RNA is filed under the name Cortinarius acutus. RNAcentral's name for it is "partial internal transcribed spacer region". The stretch from base 1 to 46 matches the Rfam family "Eukaryotic small subunit ribosomal RNA", at positions 1786 to 1831 of the family's 1831-position model. Lineage: Eukaryota; Fungi; Basidiomycota; Agaricomycetes; Agaricales; Cortinariaceae. The record is from RNAcentral.